RNAcentral lists this ribosomal RNA (408 nucleotides) under uncultured bacterium. Its description in RNAcentral is "partial 16S ribosomal RNA". It matches the Rfam family "Bacterial small subunit ribosomal RNA", at positions 28 to 526 of the family's 1533-position model. The record is from RNAcentral.
GACGAACGCUGGCGGCGUGCUUAACACAUGCAAGUCGAACGAAGUGGCGAACGGGUGAGUAAUACGUGGGUAACCUGCCCUCCUUUUUGGGAUAAGCCUUGGAAACGGGGUCUAAUACCGAAUAAAGGGGGAUGGGCUCGCGGCCUAUCAGCUUGUUGGUGGGGUGAUGGCCUACCAAGGCGGUGACGGGUAGCCGGCCUGAGGGGGUAACUGGCCAUAUGGGGACUGGGAUACGGCGCAGACUCCUACGGGAGGGAGAAGUGGGGGAUAUGGUACAAUGGGCGAAAGCCUGAUGCAGCGACGCCGAGAGGGGGAUGAGGGCUUUCGGGUUGUAAACCUCUUUAGCUAUCGAACGGGUAGGUAGAGAAGAAGCGCCGGCUAACUACGUGCCAGCAGCCGCGGUAAUAC